AAACUUUCAACAACGGAUCUCUUGGCUCUCGCAUCGAUGAAGAACGCAGCGAAAUGUGAUAAGUAAUGUGAAUUGCAGAAUUCAGUGAAUCAUCGAAUCUUUGAACGCACCUUGCGCUCUCUGGUAUUCCGGAGAGCAUGCCUGUUUGAGUGUCAUGA
This 158-nucleotide ribosomal RNA is filed under the name Colacogloea aff. diffluens IMUFRJ 51950. RNAcentral's name for it is "5.8S ribosomal RNA". It matches the Rfam family "5.8S ribosomal RNA". Rfam says of the family: 5.8S ribosomal RNA (5.8S rRNA) is a component of the large subunit of the eukaryotic ribosome. It is transcribed by RNA polymerase I as part of the 45S precursor that also contains 18S and 28S rRNA. The record is from RNAcentral. Lineage: Eukaryota; Fungi; Basidiomycota; Microbotryomycetes; Colacogloeaceae.